This is a long non-coding RNA of Gasterosteus aculeatus aculeatus (three-spined stickleback), 2168 nucleotides long. NCBI's taxonomy places the organism in Eukaryota, Metazoa, Chordata, Actinopteri, Perciformes, Gasterosteidae. The record is from Ensembl.
CGGCGCUCAGUCAUUCCCUCAGAUGAGGACUUCCGCUAAUGUAAACGCAGAAGAGAUUGGAGCGGGCGAGGUGGUGGAUGAGAUGAGCAGGAGGCAGGAAGAAAGCGGAAAGUGUGCUUAAAAAGCCGGCGCGGUCCGUCCCGCGGGAGCGCGUCGUAAUGAGAUUCAGCAGUAAUGAGGGACAGAACACGCUGCCAGAUGUGAUUCUAAUUCCAAUCAAGGAGGGGUUGGGGAGGAGGGAACUGGAGAGCAUAUUGUUAAAUACAAUUAACCCUUUUUUCCCUAUUUGGAGGAGAACAUGGUCUGAAAGGAGGGGUUACAAGCACCUUGUUCUGGAGGCUUUGGGAGAUCCGUGGCAGGUUAUCAAGGAGAAAGGCGGACCAGAGCGGAGCCUUCUUCUCAUCCCACCUUUAACGUCAGCGGGGGCAGUAGAGGUGGGCCGAGGGUCUGUCCUCCCUCUGGUGACACUGGAGAUGAUAGCCUGCCCCGAGGGGAGAGCAGGCAGCUCGGCACAGGACUUCGCGACGGGGAAGAGAACAAGAGGCCCCGGUGGCUGUGCCUCGGCGUGCCGUUCGGUGGAUCUUUAGUGAAACACAGAUGUUCAGCGGCGCCUGCAAGACGUCGGGUGGCAUGAUGGAUGUCUGUCUCCAUCAGCGCUGGCAGCGCGACGUGGCAGCGCGGCGUGACAGCGCGACGUGACAGCUCUCUGUAUUGGUGACAGGCUGAGGUUCCAGCCCAGACAGAUUGCCUUCAGGUGGCUCCAUUUUCUAAAUCUCGCCGAGAAUGUGCAGCGCUUAACUUUUCUUUUGAAGGCUGAUGGGCUCUCUGUGCCUUUUAUAUUUGGGAGAAAGUAGGAGGGGGGGGGAAGCGGCUCAUUUGAGAGUUUGCUUUAAUAUCUGUCUUUCAGAGAUCAAAGGAUGUCAUGUGCUCACACCUCAUAUUUCAUAGGAUCAAUCACAAGCCAUGUAAAAUUCUCUUAAAAGUGCCUUAUGCAAUAUAAUAGCAGGUUUGGGUGACAUUUAUCUGCCGAGGGGAGGAAGGCUGAUCACAGACCUAUUGCCUUUUACAAAAAGGAUUUCAUCACACGGGCCGUCUUUAACGGAUUUCUCACAAUUGUCUUUGCGAUUGUAGCCGAUGACGGAAGACGUAGAUGAACAUCGGGCCUCUCCCAUGGAUACGUGUGUCGUACACACACAAAUGAUUACACUUAAAGCAAAAAGCAGAUGUUUUUUUAGAGGAUUUUCACAAUAGUUCCUGUGACUUCUGGCUGAAACACUGAGCAGUUGAUCUAGAUAAUCUCUGUGCAAGACCGAGAAUGAGAGAAUUUAUUUCAGGGCCUGGUUAUGUGUUUAUAAUGAGUAUUUUAGAGGGAGAUACCGGUAAUAACUAUGUGCAAAACCAUUAAAAUGAAUAUUUAUAUUGCUCGUUAUGAAAUGUGCAUUAAGUCUGCAUUAAAAACAAGAACAAAGAAUGUGAUUCAUGAGAGAGAUGUGCGAUUUGCUAGUGUGUAUUUGUGUGUUGACUAGGGACGGCGGGGUCCUCGCACACCUAAUGCUCGGAAGUACUGACAAAACCCCUGGAUCGAAUAUCUGACACCUCUUAACAAAAGCAGCAGCAGAAGCAUCUUCCUCCCCUUGUUUGUUUUGUAAUUUUCUCCAUCUUCUUUCUGCCUCCGCCUGAGGUGAUACGAGUCGCUCCGUUCAUCCGCUCGCUCUCUCGCUCUCUCUCCACCUUUUAUUCCCUCCCUUCCUCUCCGUUCCAUCUACCCAAAUUAAGAAAUUAAUGAGGGAUAGGUUUUUCACCAACUGCCCCCGCAAUGUUUACCACUGAUGAAAUUAUAAUGCAGGCCCUGCUGUAUUAUUUAUAAGCCAAUUAGGGGAAGUGUUACUUGAUUUGAUGGGGAGCCGACACACAGAGUACAUUUAACUAAUGGAGACCAAGAGAGUAAAGGGAAGGAGGGUAGAGAGGGAGGAAGUGGGGGGGGGACAGCUGAGGCGGACUAUUCCGUACGAUGCUCUAGGAUUACGUGGCUAAUUGCCCUGCUUUAUCUGUCUGUCACGGAUAGCCAUGCAUAUUUUAGCGUUCCCAAAGACUUUGAUUGUUUGCACUCGUGUUGGGGCUGUAACAAGUAGAGCAGAGGCCAGAGUGGAGUGUAGUUAAAAACUGGC